UAGGGGAAUCUUCCACAAUGGACGCAAGUCUGAUGGAGCAACGCCGCGUGAGUGAAGAAGGUUUUCGGACCGUAAAGCUCUGUUGUUGGUGAAGAAGGAUAGAGGUAGUAACUGGCCUUUAUUUGACGGUAAUCAACCAGAAAGUCACGGCUAACUACGUGCCAGCAGCCGCGGUAAUACGUAGGUGGCAAGCGUUGUCCGGAUUAUUGGGCGUAAAGCGAGCGCAGGCGGAAGAAUAAGUCUGAUGUGAAAGCCCUCGGCUUAACCGAGGAAUUGCAUCGGAAACUGUUUUCUUGAGUGCAGAAGAGGAGAGUAGAACUCCAUGUGUAGCGGUGGAAUGCGUAGAUAUAUGGAAGAAUACCAGUGGCGAAGGCGGCUCUCUGGUCUGCAACUGACGCUGAGGCUCGAAAGCAUGGGUAGCGAACAGGAUUAGAUACCCUGGUAGUCCAUGCCGUAAACGAUGAGUGCUAAGUGUUGG
Molecule: ribosomal RNA, 478 nt
Filed under: uncultured bacterium
Lineage: Bacteria
Description: partial 16S ribosomal RNA
Rfam family: Bacterial small subunit ribosomal RNA
Source: RNAcentral